UACAGGGGGGGCAAGCGUUGUUCGGAAUUACUGGGCGUAAAGGGCUCGUAGGUGGCCAACUAAGUCAGACGUGAAAUCCCUCAGCUCAACUGGGGAACUGCGUCUGAUACUGGCGAGCUUGAGUGCAGGAGAGGGAUGCGGAAUUCCAGGUGUAGCGGUGAAAUGCGUAGAUAUCUGGAGGAACACCGGUGGCGAAGGCGGCGUCCUGGACUGCAACUGACACUGAGGAACGAAAGCCAGGGGAGCAAACGGG
This 253-nucleotide ribosomal RNA is filed under the name uncultured bacterium. RNAcentral's name for it is "partial 16S ribosomal RNA". It matches the Rfam family "Bacterial small subunit ribosomal RNA", at positions 524 to 776 of the family's 1533-position model. The record is from RNAcentral.